This 253-nucleotide ribosomal RNA is filed under the name uncultured bacterium. Its description in RNAcentral is "partial 16S ribosomal RNA". It matches the Rfam family "Bacterial small subunit ribosomal RNA", at positions 524 to 776 of the family's 1533-position model. The record is from RNAcentral.
UACGUAGGGGGCAAGCGUUGUCCGGAAUCAUUGGGCGUAAAGCGCGCGUAGGCGGCCCGGUAAGUCCGUUGUGAAAGUCAAAGGCUCAACCUUUGAACGCCGAUGGAUACUGCCGGGCUAGAGUACGAAAGAGGAUCGCGGAAUUCCCGGUGUAGAGGUGAAAUUCGUAGAUAUCGGGAGGAACACCGGUGGCGAAGGCGGCGAUCUGGGUCGAUACUGACGCUGAGGUGCGAAAGCGUGGGGAGCAAACAGG